Molecule: ribosomal RNA, 405 nt
Filed under: uncultured bacterium
Lineage: Bacteria
Description: partial 16S ribosomal RNA
Rfam family: Bacterial small subunit ribosomal RNA
Source: RNAcentral
AUUGAACGCUGGCGGCAGGCUUAACACAUGCAAGUUGAACGAGUGGCGGACGGGUGAGUAAUGCUUGGGAAUCUAGCUUAUGGAGGGGGAUAACUACGGGAAACUGUAGCUAAUACCGCGUACCAUAGGAUGAGCCCAAGUGGGAUUAGGUAGGUGGUGAGGUAAAGGCUCACCAAGCCGACGAUCACUAGCUGGUCAGGGAGGAUGACCAGCGACACUAGGACUGGUACACGGCCCGGAUUCCUGCGGGAGGGAUCAGUGGGGAAUCUUGCGCCAUGGGUGCAACAUGACGCUGCCUUGACGCUUGAAUGAAGAGAGACGUCGGGUUGUAAAUUUCUUUCGGUAGCAAGGCGUUCACUACAGAAGAAGCACCGGCUAACUCCGUGCCAGCGGCCGCGGUAAUUC